AUUGAACGCUGGCGGCAUGCCUAACACAUGCAAGUCGAACGGUAACAGGCCGCUAGGUCCUGUCUAGCGGCGCCGGGGGGAGUAAUACAUCGGAGCGUGUACCGUCGCGGGGGGUAACUACUCACAAGAGUAGCUCAUACCCCAUACCAGCUAUGAUUGAGAGCGGGGGGGCGCAAGGGCUCGAGCGGUUUGAGCUGCCGCUGUCAGAUUAGCUAGUUGGUGGGGUAAAGGCUUACCAAGACAACGAUCUGUAGCAGGUCUGAGAGGAUGAGCAGCCACACUGGAACUGAGACACGGUCCAGACUCCUACGGGAGGCAGCAGUGGGGAAUUUUGGACAAUGGGCGAAAGCCUGAUCCAGCAAUGCCGCGUGAGGGAAGAAGGUCUUCGGAUUGUAAACUUCUUUUAUACGGAACGAAACGGCGUUGGUUAAUACCCGGAGCUAAUGACGGUACCGAAAGAAUAAGCACCGGCUAACUACGUG
RNAcentral lists this ribosomal RNA (482 nucleotides) under uncultured bacterium. RNAcentral describes it as "partial 16S ribosomal RNA". It matches the Rfam family "Bacterial small subunit ribosomal RNA", at positions 30 to 507 of the family's 1533-position model. The record is from RNAcentral.